ACCCUUUAACCGGUGUUCCCCAUUUGAUCUACUCUGUAGGUCCUUUGAUCAAUAGUCUAGGGCACUUCUAGCUAGUCCAGAGCGCAGAUCAGAUCCGGACCGUUCAUUAUUAAUCUGAUGGACGCGAGCUCGUCUUCAACCCUGACAGAGCAGGGCGACAGCGCCCGGCGCAGAUUCACCGGCGAUCACGACCGAAUUGCGCCCAAGCCCCUAAACCCCAAAUUAACAGGUAUACUGCGGUGCUACGUACAUGGCGGAUGCGACUGGAGACUCACCUGUGAUGGAUUUGAUGCCCAGAGAGCUGCCCAUGACGGAGAGCAGCUUUGCGGCGAGUAGAGCACUCCGGUGAGCAAUUGGGCGGUCCGCGAUCGGUCACCGAGCCCCGAAACCCCACCAAUCGGUUCCGCCGGUCUUGGUUAGCACCCCCGGCAACCCAAUGGUCGUGCUCCGGCGAUACCGAGUAAAUAAGGUGGCAGCGGGUCUCUCUUCUCCCUCGGUAUCGCUCCCGGGACCUUCUCGCGGUAUGGAUUGAGGCAAGAGCGGCGACGUCGGGUUGGAUAUAUAGGCGGGCGGGUCACACGGUCAUAGUUGGCGAGAUGGGCACAAGCGCGCGCGGAUUUCGGAGGGGAGGUUGCGCCG
RNAcentral lists this long non-coding RNA (639 nucleotides) under Zea mays. Its description in RNAcentral is "long non-coding RNA NONZMAT002936". The record is from RNAcentral. Lineage: Eukaryota; Viridiplantae; Streptophyta; Magnoliopsida; Poales; Poaceae.